Non-coding RNA from Drosophila bipectinata, 157 nucleotides. Lineage: Eukaryota; Metazoa; Arthropoda; Insecta; Diptera; Drosophilidae. The record is from RefSeq and is a predicted model, not a curated record.
AUAACCUCGAAUAGUCUAUAAAAGCAAACCAUUUAGCGUCAAACUUUUAUAAGAUCAUCUCUUUUAAGAUGAGGUUCUCUGCGUUUUUUGCUAUAUUUAUACUGUUUGCAGUCUGUGUAGCACUGGGUGCUUCACAACCCAAAAAUGAUAGUCCACC